RNAcentral lists this ribosomal RNA (422 nucleotides) under uncultured bacterium. RNAcentral describes it as "bacterial SSU rRNA". It matches the Rfam family "Bacterial small subunit ribosomal RNA", at positions 355 to 774 of the family's 1533-position model. The record is from RNAcentral.
UGAGGAAUAUUGGGCAAUGCCCGCAAGGGUGACCCAGCAACGCCGCGUGGAGGAUGAAUGUCGUAAGAUUGUAAACUCCUGUUAGAGGGGAAGAAUAGUACCGGUUGGACCGGUAUAUGACUGUACCCUCAGAGAAAGCCCCGGCUAACUACGUGCCAGCAGCAGCGGUAAUACGUAGGGGGCAAGCGUUGUCCGGAUUUACUGGGUGUAAAGGGCGCGCAGGCGGGAUAAAAAGUCAGUGGUGAAAUCCUACAGCUUAACUGUAGAACUGCCUUUGAUACUUUUAUUCUUGGGUUCGGGAGAGGGAGACGGAAUUCCAGGUGUAGUGGUGAAAUACGUAGAUAUCUGGAAGAACACCAGUUGCGAAGGCGGUCUCUUGGUCCGACACUGACGCUGAGGCGCGAAAGCGUGGGGAGCAAACA